GAGAGAGAGAGAGAGAGAGAGAGAGAGAGAGAGUCUUCUACCCUCUGGUUCACUCCCCAAUUGGCCACAACUGCUGGAGCUAUGCUGAUUAGAAGCCAGGAGCCAGGAGCCUCCUUUGGGUCUACCACGCUUGCAGUAGCUCCCUUCUUAUUGUGUCUUCACUUGGGAAAGAAAGAGAGAGAGAGAAAAAUGCAGAAAUCAGAGCCUAUUAAACCCACUUCCAGGGGCUGGGCUUCUGCCUCCGGUGCCAGCAUCCCAUAUGGGCUCCGGUUCAAGUCCCAGCUGCUUCUCUUCUGAUCCAGCUUUCUGUUAGGACAUGGGAAAGCAGCAGAAGAUGGCCCAAGUGCUUGAGCCCCUGAAUCUGCGUGGGAGACCCGGAAGAAGCUCCUGGAUCCUGGCUUUGGAUUGGCCCAGCUCUGGCUGUUGCAGCUAUUUGGGAAAUAAACCAGCAUGUGGAAGACCUUUUUCUCUGUCUCUCCCUCUGUCUAUAAUUCUCUCUCUCAAAUAAAUAAAAUCUUUAAAAAAAGUUAAAAACUCACUUCCAGGUACUGUUUCAGAUAAUUGGAAGUAACCUUCAAAUAAAUAAGGUGUUACUAUCUUUA
This is a non-coding RNA of Oryctolagus cuniculus (rabbit), 602 nucleotides long. The record is from RefSeq and is a predicted model, not a curated record. NCBI's taxonomy places the organism in Eukaryota, Metazoa, Chordata, Mammalia, Lagomorpha, Leporidae.